This is a small nucleolar RNA of Psammomys obesus (fat sand rat), 142 nucleotides long. RefSeq annotates it as small nucleolar RNA SNORA48. The transcript has a single exon. The record is from RefSeq and is a predicted model, not a curated record. NCBI's taxonomy places the organism in Eukaryota, Metazoa, Chordata, Mammalia, Rodentia, Muridae.
CGCCCCUGGUGAUGGGCAGAGAGACACCUCAUUGGUGGUGUUGUCCUUAUAUCAGUCAGGACAGAGCACAUGGCGGGCCUUUGUUCAUCCUAGCCUGAUGCCUGCGUGGUGGCCAAAGCUGUCUUAUGCCCAGGACACCUCA